Molecule: ribosomal RNA, 270 nt
Filed under: uncultured archaeon
Lineage: Archaea
Description: partial 16S ribosomal RNA
Rfam family: Archaeal small subunit ribosomal RNA
Source: RNAcentral
CAGCACCUCAAGUGGUCAGGAUGAUUAUUGGGCCUAAAGCAUCCGUAGCCGGCGCUGUAAGUUUUCGGUUAAAUCUGUACGCUCAACGUACAGGCUGCCGGGAAUACUGCAGCGCUAGGGAGUGGGAGAGGUAGACGGUACUCGGUAGGAAGGGGUAAAAUCCUUUGAUCUAUUGAUGACCACCUGUAGCGAAGGCGGUCUACCAGAACACGUCCGACGGUGAGGGAUGAAAGCUGGGGGAGCAAACCGGAUUAGAUACCCGCGUAGUCC